GACGAACGCUGGCGGCGUGCUUAACACAUGCAAGUCGAACGUGAUUUUUGUGGAAAGCCCUUCGGGGACGGAAGCGAAAUGAAAGUGGCGAACGGGUGAGUAACACGUGAGCAACCUACCUUACACAGGGGGAUAGCCGUUGGAAACGACGAUUAAUACCGCAUGAGACCACAAAGCCACAUGGCUUAGGGGUAAAAGAUUUAUCGGUGUAAGAUGGGCUCGCGUCUGAUUAGCUAGUUGGAAGGGUAAAGGCCUACCAAGGCAACGAUCAGUAGCCGGUCUGAGAGGAUGAACGGCCACAUUGGAACUGAGACACGGUCCAAACUCCUACGGGAGGCAGCAGUGGGGAAUAUUGCACAAUGGGGGGAACCCUGAUGCAGCGACGCCGCGUGAGCGAAGAAGGUUUUCGAAUCGUAAAGCUCUGUCCUAUGAGAAGAUAAUG
Molecule: ribosomal RNA, 442 nt
Filed under: Parvimonas sp. oral taxon 110
Lineage: Bacteria; Bacillati; Bacillota; Tissierellia; Tissierellales; Peptoniphilaceae
Description: bacterial SSU rRNA
Rfam family: Bacterial small subunit ribosomal RNA
Source: RNAcentral